Molecule: transfer RNA, 78 nt
Filed under: Vibrio parahaemolyticus
Lineage: Bacteria; Pseudomonadati; Pseudomonadota; Gammaproteobacteria; Vibrionales; Vibrionaceae
Description: tRNA-Phe
Rfam family: tRNA (bases 8-65)
About the family: Transfer RNA (tRNA) molecules are approximately 80 nucleotides in length. Their secondary structure includes four short double-helical elements and three loops (D, anti-codon, and T loops).
Source: RNAcentral
GCCUCGAUAGCUCAGUCGGUAGAGCAGAGGAUUGAAAAUCCUCGUGUCGGUGGUUCGAUUCCACCAUUAUUUGGUGCG